CUGAAGUGAUCUGCCCACCUCGGCUUCCCAAAGUGCUGGGACUGCAGGUGUGAGCCACUGCGCCUGGCCCCUUCAGGUGGGUUUUGAGGCUUCACGUUGCUGCUGCAAUAAAUUACCACACACUUAGUGGCUUAAAACAGCACAGAGGUAUUCCCUUACAUUUCUGAAGGCCAGAAUUCUAAAAUCAGUCCCACUGAGUCAAGGUGGGAGCAGGGUCAGUGCCUUCCCAGGCUCUGCGGGAGAAUCUGUUUCCUGGCCCUGGAGGCGGCCUGUACUCCUUAGCUUGUGCUGCCCUUCUGGAAUGACUCGAGUUUCCUGCUUUCAUCACUACACCUCCCACCGCUCUCCAUCACCUGCUGUGCUCUUACGAGGAUCCAGCUGAGACAUGUUUUAGGAAGUUUGCUAAAAGACCCCUGGAGACGUCCUCAUUGUGGCCUCCCUGCUGUUGUGUUUAAUUUGGUUGAUCUUCUCUGCCCUCCUGCUUUUCAGAAUUAAAAGGCUAAAAAGAGUUUUCAGAGAAAUGGAAUAAUUGUAUUGCUGAUCUACGUAAACAAGUUGAAGAAUUGUCUGAAAGAAAAUAUGGUGUGUCUGAACUGGAAAAGUCCUGUGAUAGUUUGUUCAUGAGCAUUUACACAAUGGAGUUACUGUUCAUCAUGGGGGUACUGUGGACAAGCCCAGGGCUGCUGACAUAAUCUUAUGAAUUCAACACAUGAAGAUUUACAACUUGAUAAACCAGCUUCAGGAGAUCAGAACUUCUUACAAUACAACUGAUGUUACUCAGCCUAGAACAAAUACAACAGGGAUUGUGCUGCAUUCUGACUUAGGUUCUGCCAUCGAACACAGAAUGCCCUGAUCCUUAGAGGCAGAGGCAGCUCUUCAGCCUAUGGGAAAACUGUGGAUUUAGUUACUCCACUCUGCCAUGUCCUUCCACCACUGCCUGCACAUUUGAGACCAAGGAUAGAGAUUGGGAAAAAUCCAUAGUUCUCCUGACUCAGAGUUUGGCUCCGGCACUCUCAUUUCAGCCAUAGCUGCAGACAAAGCACACGACUGCUGGGCACUGUGGCUCAAGAGAAGGGGGAGAUGCAGGAAGAAGAUGAGCCUUAAGUCUGAACACUGAGGAAUUCAUGUGCAUCAGUCAGACCUCCUGUGCAAGGAAGGAUGUGGUUACUACGGCAACCCUGCCUGGCAGGGUUUCUGCUCCAAGUGCUGGAGGGAAGAGUACCACAAAGCCAGGCAGAAGGAGAUUCAGGAGGACUGGGAGCUGGCGGAGCGACUCCAGUGGGAGGAAGAGGCCUUUGCCAGCAGUCAGAGCAGCCAAGGGGCCCAAUCCCUCACAUUCUCCAAGUUUGAAGGAAAGAAAACCAACGAGAAGACCCACGAGGUUACCACAGUGAAGAAAUCUUCAGUGCGUCUUCCAGGGUCGGAUCAAAGAAGGCAGAAAUUCAGGAAGCAAAAGCCAGUCCUUCCAUAAACCGGCGAACCAGCAUUGAAACGGAUAGAGUGUCUAAGGAGUUCAUAGAAUUUCUCAAGACCUUCCACAAGACAGGCCAAGAAAUCUAUAAACAGACCAAGCUGUUUUUGGAAGGGAUGCAUUACAAAAGGUGCCUCCAGAAAGGGUUGAGAAGAUAAUGGAUCAGAUUGAAAAGUACAUCAUGACUCAUCUCUGUAAAUAUGCGUUCUGUCCAGAACCCCAGUGAGCCUGGAAGACUGGGUGCUAUGGGAAAUGUCAUCAAUCCAAUGCUAGUGAAAGAUGUGACUGGGGAAUGCUGAAAAAUGCGCACCCCUGGGAGGAAUGAGGAAAGAUGACAUCCACUGACUUGUUAUUUUUUUGAGAAGGAGUCUUGCUCUGUUGCCCAGGCUGGAGUGUGGUGGCACGAUCUCGGCUCACUGAUGAUGAGAAGAAAGAUCUUGCCAUUCAAAAGAGGAUCAGAGUGGAAGCUUCUCUGUGGUGUCAGAAAGACGAGGAAUGUGGUGACCUCACCUAUCCAUCUCCCUCAAGGCAGCUUUUGCUUAAGUUCUUGGACUCACUGAGGCAGUAAAAGAACCAUAUCCUGUGUUUGAAUCAAAUCCCAAGUUCCUGUACGUAGAAGGUUUGCCAGACAGGAUUCCCUUUCGAAGCCCUCCUGGUUUGGAAUUCCAUGACUUGAAAGGAUCGUCCAUGGGAGUAAUAAAAUCAAAUUUGUUGGUAAAAAACCUGAACUGGUUAUUUCCUACUUGCCUCCUGGAGUUGCUAAUAAAAUAAACACUAAAGCUUCGCAGUUUCUAAAAAGACCAUGAAGCCCUGAGAGUAAUGAAAAGGUUCCUGAAAUUGAGGUCACUGUGGAAGGAGAAUCUAAUGCCUGAUGAUCUGUCACUAUCUCCCAUCACCCCCAGAUGGGACCAUCUAGUUGCAGGAAAAGAAGGUCAAGACUCCCAGUCAUUCUACAUUAUGCCUCAGCCAAGAUGUCUCACCCCACUCUCUCUGAUGCAACAAGAAGCCCCUGGAGAACGUUUCAGUCCCAUUUUGUACUUCUGUCAUGUGCUCAUCACAGUCUGGUGGAAUUUAAAUGACCUCUUAUCAAGAUGGAUAAACCCAAGUUUCCCAGUGCUGGAAUAUAGAAAAUGGAUGGACAAGUAAGUCCCACUCAGCACCCAUAGCCCAGACAUGGGGACCUCAACACACCUGGGCCCCAGACAUCACCUUUCAUUCCGAGGCAUAUGCCAUUCAAGCUAAGGGUGCUACACUUGACCACUGCGGCAGUAUAGAUGAGUCUGAAGAAUGGUAUGGGAUGGAUACUUACGAAUGCACUCGAGCAGGGGUCUCCAUCCACAGGGCCACAGAGCCAGAGGUGAGCAGCAGCUGGAUCUACCAUGAAAGACUUCAGAGUCCAGGAAGAGAGACUGAUUGGGCAACAUGUUAUUCAGUUACAAAAAGACUUGGACUAUGACUCAAAAAUGAUCAAAUAAUAGUGCAUGCAUCCAAUGCAAUAAGAAGCACUUCUGGAGGGUGAGAGAAGCAUCCAGUUAAGGUGACAUUGAAGCUGGGUCCUGAAAGAUGAGGAAGAAUUGUAUGAGAGUGGGCAGAGAAGGGGGAGGUGGAGGGAUGGGGAAUGGGCUGAGAUGGAGUGAGCUGCUCAAGCAGGGAAACCAGCACUGUAAAGACCUGGUCAAUAAAGAUGGCACAUUUUAUUCAGGGAAUGGUGAAUUAAUUGUGGCAGGAAUGCUUUGGAGAGAGAGUAAUUUGCUUGUAUGGAAUUUUGCCCAAGAGACCUCAUUACAGUUUCUAAUCUUUUGAUGUUAUCGUCUAUCACUGUCCUUGUCAGAUAGUUUGGAAUAGGUAUAAUGAUCACAAUAACAUCAAGCAUAAUAUUUCAUUAAUUCUCACAAAAUCACAGGUAGGUGCCACAGUUAUCCCCAUUUUGUGAAUGAAGUGAUGAAGACUUAGGAAUGAUGAGUGAUUGCCCAAGCUCACCUGGAUAUUAAGAGGUCUUGCUCUGUUGUCCAGGCUGGAAUGUGGUAGUGCUAU
Molecule: long non-coding RNA, 3505 nt
Filed under: Homo sapiens (human)
Lineage: Eukaryota; Metazoa; Chordata; Mammalia; Primates; Hominidae
Description: HSALNT0341581
Source: RNAcentral